Long non-coding RNA from Anastrepha ludens (Mexican fruit fly), 1440 nucleotides. RefSeq lists it as uncharacterized. The record is from RefSeq and is a predicted model, not a curated record. Lineage: Eukaryota; Metazoa; Arthropoda; Insecta; Diptera; Tephritidae. The transcript has 4 exons.
UCGUUUACGAGCAGCUGACAUAGAUUUUGGAUCUUCACAAGGUUGAUUUAUUAUAGGUGACAGCAUUCACCCAGCUGAAUUUUUCGCCGUAGAUAUGGCUUACGUCAAAAUGAUAUGCUUUGUUUGUAUUGGUAUGUUUACAUUCAUACAUAUGUUUACAUUUAUGCUUACUGAGCUAUUGGUGCAAAUGGAACAUUUAUUCACGUUUGCCAAUUUAUUGACUCGCAGUUGUCCUUUAAUUUAAUUCAUUUAAAAUUUUAGAACAUUUUAUUGUGGCUGAAUCAUUGCUAGACCGUGGUGAAUCAUACAAAGCACUGGUUCGACUCGCUGCUUAUCGAAAAGACGUACAAAGGUCCACAAGAAUUGGCAAUAAUUUUAUCUGGUUGUGGUUUAUAUACUGCUGCAAUGAAGCUGCUUUCUGGCUUCGGAUUAUCACCUCUUCCCAUAUGGGUACGCCGCAUUACCAAGGAAAGCGCCAAUGAAGCAUGAGCGUAGUCACAAGAAAAUGAAAUGUCUGAUUUGCCUCAUCGCAAUAAAGGAACUAAUAUGGCCCGGUUACUGUUACAAAAACUCAUUUAUGAUUAUGAGUUAGAAAAGUCUACUAGCUUACGUAAAUAUAUGGCAAACAAGCUGCUAAGUCUCAACGCUUUUAUACCGCAAUGACUAUAUGAUGACUAAAAGGGAUGAAAUUUGCUAUAAAAACGUUUGACGUAAUUUAUUAAAAACAUGCAUACCAACAUUUGGCGAAUUGUCCAGAGCUAUUGUAUUUGUUCGUGACACAUAAUCCCUUAAUUGAAGCUGCCGAAUUACGACAUGCACUGUUGGAAGCUAGAAACGAAUACUCAGUUUCAGAUAUGUGAUACAAAUACAAUUGAGCUCAAUAUUACAUACAUUACUUUCUGUACGCAGUGAGACUUUAAUUUUGCCAUUGUUUCGAAGUUUGUUUGCGUUAUGUUUCUCUAUUUUAAACUUUUUCGCGUCCAAGCUUCACUCUCUACUUUCAAUUUCACCUUAUGCAUGCCCGUGGCAAAUUCUGAAAUAUGACUUACAAUUCACACAUAAUAAAUCAACCUUGCACAUAAGAUAGAUUCGAAAUCUUCAAUGAACUGUGGGAAAUGUGGCGACUUUUUAUUUUGUGACUAUUUCCAGCGUACGUUUCACAAGCAAAUCACAUUGAAAAUGAACAGCUGAUUUUGACGUAAUGCUUGGACCAAACGCAACAGCAAAUACAUGUAGGGUUUUACUUAUACCUAUGUGGUUGCUGUCACCUAUAAUAAAUUCGCCUUGGAUCUUCAUCAUCACCCAGACAUCUAUGCGCACAAUGUGGAGAGUAUUCAGCAGGUUUUUUGAUCGUACAUUACAGAACCGGGCUGGCAUUUAAAUACGUCGGAAGCACUUCCACCUUGUGCGAUCAGCCAAAUCAAUCUAAAAAUAUGCAAU